UACGAAGGGGGCUAGCGUUGCUCGGAAUCACUGGGCGUAAAGGGUGCGUAGGCGGGGCUUUAAGUCAGGGGUGAAAUCCUGGAGCUCAACUCCAGAACUGCCUUUGAUACUGAAGAUCUUGAGUUCGGGAGAGGUGAGUGGAACUGCGAGUGUAGAGGUGAAAUUCGUAGAUAUUCGCAAGAACACCAGUGGCGAAGGCGGCUCACUGGCCCGUUACUGACGCUGAGGCACGAAAGCGUGGGGAGCAAACAGG
RNAcentral lists this ribosomal RNA (253 nucleotides) under uncultured bacterium. RNAcentral describes it as "partial 16S ribosomal RNA". It matches the Rfam family "Bacterial small subunit ribosomal RNA", at positions 524 to 776 of the family's 1533-position model. The record is from RNAcentral.